Molecule: ribosomal RNA, 232 nt
Filed under: uncultured bacterium
Lineage: Bacteria
Description: partial 16S ribosomal RNA
Rfam family: Bacterial small subunit ribosomal RNA
Source: RNAcentral
UGAGUAACCUGCCCUUAACUCUGGGAUAAGCCUGGGAAACUGGGUCUAAUACCGGAUAUGACUCCUCAUCGCAUGGUGGGGGGUGGAAAGCUUUUUGUGGUUUUGGAUGGACUCGCGGCCUAUCAGCUUGUUGGUGAGGUAAUGGCUUACCAAGGCGACGACGGGUAGCCGGCCUGAGAGGGUGACCGGCCACACUGGGACUGAGACACGGCCCAGACUCCUACGGGAGCAG